RNAcentral lists this long non-coding RNA (707 nucleotides) under Fukomys damarensis (Damara mole-rat). RNAcentral describes it as "lncRNA (ENSFDAG00000030845.1)". Lineage: Eukaryota; Metazoa; Chordata; Mammalia; Rodentia; Bathyergidae. The record is from RNAcentral.
UGGCGUGUCAUUUUCGAAUGUGGGUUAGUACUUGACAUGCCAAAGGGGACACGAUGACCCUGGGGGCUUUGGGAUUUUCGCUUCGGCUGAAAUCUCUGCAGUACUUCCUGCCAUGUCUGUAUGUACAGCCAGCCCUUCACCAGCGAUGUGAAUGUACCCUUGUGUUUCUUACAUGAGAAAUUCCAGUCAAACAGGUAGUGCGUUGCAAAAGUGGCACAGAGACUCUAGAGAAAAAAGAUGUUUCUUCCCCAGAUCACUUGGUAGCUUUUCCUUCCUUUGAAAAUACUGAACCAUCCGUGGACACCCAGCUGGCGUGCCUCAGAGGACCUGCCGCUCCCCCAAAUGAUUUCAUCCUUCUCCAAAUGACUUCUGGUGGACAGCAACUGUGGCCGCCACCGCUACGCACCAGCCAGGAUCCAAGGUCUCGAACCUGGGGCUGGGGUCCCGGUGCGCACAUCCGUUUCCUGUCUUAUCUUUGGGGCCUGCCCAGAGUGCCCGGAGUCUCACCCCUCUUUCCCCCCAGGUCUACAAUAUCCGUCCGCAGCCCCUGCCUUGUGCUCCGGAAGUGCAGCGUGGAGCACUCAGUUAUUUCAUCCACCUGCACGGAAACGACGCCAUCAUCCCGGAAGAGAGCUGCGCUUCACUCCACUCCUGCUUUCCCUGAAGAUACAAGUGGUUUCACCAGUCUGCACUCUCACCAAAAAUGA